This 482-nucleotide ribosomal RNA is filed under the name uncultured bacterium. Its description in RNAcentral is "partial 16S ribosomal RNA". It matches the Rfam family "Bacterial small subunit ribosomal RNA", at positions 30 to 507 of the family's 1533-position model. The record is from RNAcentral.
AUUGAACGCUGGCGGCAUGCCUUACACAUGCAAGUCGAACGGUAACGGGCCUUCGGGUGCCGACGAGUGGCGCACGGGUGCGUAAUACAUCGGAACGUGCCCGAUCGUGGGGGAUAACGAGGCGAAAGCUUUGCUAAUACCGCAUACGAUCUAUGGAUGAAAGCAGGGGACCGCAAGGCCUUGCGCGGACGGAGCGGCCGAUGGCAGAUUAGGUAGUUGGUGGGAUAAAAGCUUACCAAGCCGACGAUCUGUAGCUGGUCUGAGAGGAUGAUCAGCCACACUGGGACUGAGACACGGCCCAGACUCCUACGGGAGGCAGCAGUGGGGAAUUUUGGACAAUGGGCGCAAGCCUGAUCCAGCCAUGCCGCGUGCAGGAUGAAGGCCUUCGGGUUGUAAACUGCUUUUGUACGGAACGAAAAGCCUUCUUUUAAUACAGGAGGGUCAUGACGGUACCGUAAGAAUAAGCACCGGCUAACUACGUG